This 441-nucleotide ribosomal RNA is filed under the name uncultured bacterium. Its description in RNAcentral is "partial 16S ribosomal RNA". It matches the Rfam family "Bacterial small subunit ribosomal RNA", at positions 338 to 795 of the family's 1533-position model. The record is from RNAcentral.
CCUACGGGUGGCAGCAGUGGGGAAUAUUGCACAAUGGGGGAAACCCUGAUGCAGCAACGCCGCGUGGGUGAAGGAGCGUUUCGGCGCGUAAAGCCCUGUCAGCGGGGAAGAAGAAAGACGGUACCUCUUGAAUAAGCCACGGCUAACUACGUGCCAGCAGCCGCGGUAAUACGUAGGUGGCAAGCGUUGUCCGGAUUUACUGGGUGUAAAGGGCGUGCAGCCGGGAAGACAAGUCAGAUGUGAAAUCCCGCGGCUCAACCGCGGAACUGCAUUUGAAACUGUUUUUCUUGAGUACCGGAGAGGGCAUCGGAAUUCCCUGUGUAGCGGUGAAAUGCGUAGAUAUAAGGAAGAACACCAGUGGCGAAGGCGGAUGACUGGACGGCAACUGACGGUGAGGCGCGAAAGCGUGGGGAGCAAACAGGAUUAGAUACCCGAGUAGUC